GUUGUAUUUGGGUUUUGGUUGUAUGCUUGGCUCUUUAGCCCUGCGUGUGGCUGUUUCCCAGUGCGGCUUUGGGGAUGUCAAUCGUAAAGGUGCAUGAGUGGUGUUUGGUUUGACACGGGUGGUUGGCUCCUUGCUUGAGCAGGCACUUCCACGCGUACACUCCUUUUCAGUUGUGCGGCAAGGCUUGUAUCGUCUUGCUCGUAUACGUGGGUUUCCUGUGUUGCAUACCUGAUCAAUGGCAUCGUUUUGAUAAAAAGAAGUAACUUUUUCGUCGGGUGUUGCAUUUGCAAUGUCGGAUGAACCAUGCCAGCAUCCUCUUUGAUCCAUAUAGUCGAUGAGCAUUCAUUGAUUGUUUGGCCCGUUGAGGGUGGCUUGGUCUCUCGGAUAUGGAAGCCAAAGUGGGCAUGGGUUUGUAAGAUCCUUGUAUUGCCCUUCUUGAGCGUUCUCGCUUCUCUUAAACGACUGCCUUUCACGUAUGGCAUGUCCCAGCGUGUUUGGCUAYGUUGAAGAGGAAUGCUACCUGGUUGA
Molecule: unclassified non-coding RNA, 528 nt
Filed under: Pacifigeron rapensis
Lineage: Eukaryota; Viridiplantae; Streptophyta; Magnoliopsida; Asterales; Asteraceae
Description: partial contains external transcribed spacer and small subunit ribosomal RNA
Source: RNAcentral